RNAcentral lists this ribosomal RNA (376 nucleotides) under uncultured Katablepharidophyta. RNAcentral's name for it is "partial small subunit ribosomal RNA". It matches the Rfam family "Eukaryotic small subunit ribosomal RNA", at positions 30 to 432 of the family's 1831-position model. Lineage: Eukaryota; Cryptophyceae; Kathablepharidacea. The record is from RNAcentral.
GCUUGUCUCAAAGAUUAAGCCAUGCAUGUCUUAGUGUAAAUAACUCUUAUGAAACUGCGAAUGGCUCAUUAAAUCAGUUAUCAAAUACGUGAUGGUCGCCUACUACAUGGAUAACCGUAGUAAUUCUAGAGCUAAUACAUGCACAAAAUCCCGACUUACGAAGGGAUGUAUUUAUUAGAUACAAACCAACAUCGUGGUGAUUCAUAAUAACUUUCGGAUCGAUCUUCGGAUCGAUGCAUCAUUCAAGUUUCUGCCCUAUCAGCUUUGGAUGGUAGGGUAUUGGCCUACCAUGGCUUUAACGGGUAACGGAGAAUUAGGGUUCGAUUCCGGAGAGGGAGCCUGAGAAAUGGCUACCACAUCCAAGGAAGGCAGCAGG